GAAAAUCAUCAGAUGUUACAUUAUCACGAGAAGAGUACCAUCUGACUCCACUAGAUGGGAACCUUCAAAGCAGAACCAUGCUCUUGAAUGGAAAACCAUUACAACUCGCAGAAAAUGGGAACAUCCCAAGUUUGUCUCCAGUCCUUGUAAAGCUGAAGUCUCCAAUAUCAAUUUCCCCCUUGUCCAUCAAAUUCAUAGUAUUCCCCUACUUAAGCUCUCCUGUUUGUACAUAGAAUUAGGAAAUACUUUUGUCUGAUAGUUAUCAUCUGGC
Molecule: unclassified non-coding RNA, 271 nt
Filed under: Hevea brasiliensis (rubber tree)
Lineage: Eukaryota; Viridiplantae; Streptophyta; Magnoliopsida; Malpighiales; Euphorbiaceae
Source: RNAcentral